This 559-nucleotide ribosomal RNA is filed under the name uncultured Glomus. Its description in RNAcentral is "SSU rRNA". It matches the Rfam family "Eukaryotic small subunit ribosomal RNA", at positions 546 to 1106 of the family's 1831-position model. The record is from RNAcentral. Lineage: Eukaryota; Fungi; Glomeromycota; Glomeromycetes; Glomerales; Glomeraceae.
AAUUGGAUGGCAAGUCUGGUGCCAGCAGCCGCGGUAAUUCCAGCUCCAAUAGCGUAUAUUAAAGUUGUUGCAGUUAAAAAGCUCGUAGUUGAAUUUCGGGAUCAAUGGGUUGGUCAUGCCCUCGGUAUGUACUGAUUUCAUUGGUUCUCACCUUCUAAGGAACCAUGAUGUCAUUUGUUUGAUGAUGUGGGAAGUUAGGACUGUUACCUUGAAAAAAUUAGAGUGUUUAAAGCAGGCUAACGCUUGAAUACAUUAGCAUGGAAUAAUGAAAUAGGACAUCCGAUUCUAUUUUGUUGGUUUCUAGGAUCGAUGUAAUGAUUAAUAGGGAUAGUUGGGGGCAUUAGUAUUCAAUUGUCAGAGGUGAAAUUCUUGGAUUUAUUGAAGACUAACUACUGCGAAAGCAUUUGCCAAGGAUGUUUUCAUUAAUCAAGAACGAAAGUUAGGGGAUCGAAGACGAUCAGAUACCGUCGUAGUCUUAACCAUAAACUAUGCCGACUAGGGAUCGGAUGAUGCUUAUUUUUUAAUGACUCAUUCGGCACCUUACGGGAAACCAAAGUGU